RNAcentral lists this unclassified non-coding RNA (212 nucleotides) under Hevea brasiliensis (rubber tree). Lineage: Eukaryota; Viridiplantae; Streptophyta; Magnoliopsida; Malpighiales; Euphorbiaceae. The record is from RNAcentral.
GGAGCGAAGAGAUGGACAGCAACUACUACACCGAAGAACGACUCCAAAAAAACUUGAACCAACAAAGCAAAACAGAUGACAGAAAGACCGAAUCGGAAAAUUUUCUAGGAAACCUUUGGCUUAAAUAUAUCUUUUUCUUUCAUCACUUAGCUAACUUCCUGUAUUUUCACCAACACAAAAUUCUUCAACACCCCUUUUUUUUCAAUCAAAAA